AAGCACCUUUCAUCUCUUGUAUACACAUUCGCCAUUCUUCUUUUUCAAAGUUUAUGUCUUUCAUACUGCCAUUGAUUAAGGAUUCUUUUCUGUGUUAUGGGUAUGCCUGAUAUGUGUAUGUGUAUGCGUCAUUUACUGAUUACCUGUGCUCUGAUCUUCGUGGGUACUGUGUAUGAGCUGACGCUAUAGCAAUUCUUUCUGCAAUAUUUUUUAUACUGAUUUAUUUAUCUUGUCUCAGUUUCCAUUGCAGAGCAGGAAAAUUCAUUCCUUGAUUCAAAAGCUUCUAAGUUUUUUUCUUUCGAUUCCAUUUUUCUAUCGAUGUUUGGUAUUGUGGUGGGAAGAAAUAGGGUUAUGAUGCAUGCUAUCUUUUUGUGUUUAUUGGUACAGAAGUAGAUAGCGGUAGAGUGGAUAAAAGAUGUGAUGAGCCUUUCCCCAUAUGAUCGAAGUUGAUUCUAACUGUGCUAUUCUCAUAAUUUAGUCUCAUUUAUUGAGUAUCGAAUUUCCAAGCCAGAACUCUGAUCUUUCUACCGUUUCAAUUUUAUGUGAUAAUAUUUUUGCAAAUGUUUUAAUUAAUUUGAGCAUAGUGUUGUUAUUAUUAGUUAGAAUUUGUGUUUGUUAAAAUUUUAUUGUCCAUUGAUUUUUUGCAUUGUUUGAUGGACGUGAUGAUUAUUUCCCCAUGUGAUCGACGCUGAACAUACUGUGCGAUCUUUCUCUUUAGAGAAACCAAGCCAAUUAAUCUGAUCCAUUAUGUAUGUUUUAGAAUGUUCAUCUUAGAAUUGAUAUGUGUUUCAGAAGCGCAUUUGUCUUUCUCAUGCGAAGCUAUUCAUGAGGUGAUCGACGCUGAACAUACUGUGCGAUCUUUCUCUUUAGAGAAACCAAGCCAAUAAAUCUGAUCCGUUAUUAAGCGGUUGCAUUUGCCUUCGAACAAUUAUUGGAAGCUUCAUGGAUGAUAUGAUUUCUGAUUAAAUUUUAUGAAUUAGCUAGUUGAUAUUUGGCAUUAAAAUUGCACUGCAAGAUGGAAGUGAUGAUUAUUUCCCCAGAUGAUCGAAGCUGAAUAUACUGUGCGAUUUUUCUCUUUAGAGAAACCAAGCCAAUAAAUCUGAUCCAUCUUUGCAUAUUUUCAAUUUGAUUUUCUCUUUGGAUAGUAUAUGUUCAUAUUUCAUAUUUUCAUAGCAAUUGUGUCUUUUCUUUUUGCCUAGGUUUAAUAGGGAUUUGUGAAUACCUUUUUAAUUGUAGAUUCCUGAUAAAUUAUGUUGGAGAAUUGAUGAAGGGUGUAUUUUGUAAUUGGAUAUUCCCAUCUUUUCUAAAGGUUAUUCUCCAGAUAACAAUUAACAGGAGUUUAAUGCUUGUGCUACAUUGUAUGUGGAUUGCAAGUUUGGCUCUUCUGUUACAUACAUACCA
RNAcentral lists this small RNA (1401 nucleotides) under Vigna angularis var. angularis. Lineage: Eukaryota; Viridiplantae; Streptophyta; Magnoliopsida; Fabales; Fabaceae. The record is from RNAcentral.